This 98-nucleotide microRNA precursor is filed under the name Marmota monax (woodchuck). The record is from RNAcentral. Lineage: Eukaryota; Metazoa; Chordata; Mammalia; Rodentia; Sciuridae.
GCAUACUGCACUGGGGCAUCUUGUUAAAAUGCAGAUUCUAAUCCAGUAUGUCUGGGCUGAGAAUCUGCAUGUCUGACAAGCUCCCAGAUGUUGCUGCU